GGGAAGUGGCUCAGCUGGGUAGAGCACCUGGUUUGGGACCAGGGGGUCGCAGGGUCACGUCCUGGCUGCCCGAUAAUUGUUUGGGGCCUUAGCUCAGCUGGGCGAGCGCCUGCCUUGCCCG
RNAcentral lists this transfer RNA (121 nucleotides) under Bacillus cereus group sp. N14. Its description in RNAcentral is "tRNA-Pro". The stretch from base 1 to 73 matches the Rfam family "tRNA". Rfam says of the family: Transfer RNA (tRNA) molecules are approximately 80 nucleotides in length. Their secondary structure includes four short double-helical elements and three loops (D, anti-codon, and T loops). Further hydrogen bonds mediate the characteristic L-shaped molecular structure. tRNAs have two regions of fundamental functional importance: the anti-codon, which is responsible for specific mRNA codon recognition, and the 3' end, to which the tRNAs corresponding amino acid is attached (by aminoacyl-tRNA synthetases). tRNAs cope with the degeneracy of the genetic code in two manners: having more than one tRNA (with a specific anti-codon) for a particular amino acid; and 'wobble' base-pairing, i.e. permitting non-standard base-pairing at the 3rd anti-codon position. The record is from RNAcentral. Lineage: Bacteria; Bacillati; Bacillota; Bacilli; Caryophanales; Bacillaceae.